Molecule: ribosomal RNA, 383 nt
Filed under: uncultured Chrysophyceae
Lineage: Eukaryota; Chrysophyceae
Description: SSU rRNA
Rfam family: Eukaryotic small subunit ribosomal RNA
Source: RNAcentral
CCAGCUCCAAUAGCGUAUACUAAAGUUGUUGCAGUUAAAAAGCUCGUAGUUGAAUUUCUGGUUCUGGAGUGCGGUCUGCCCCGAGGGGUAUGUACCAGCACGUCGGAGCCAUCCUCGAGGAGAACAUAUCUGUGAUUCAGUUCAUGGGUAUGGGAGCCUCGUCAUUUACUGUGAGCAAAAUAGAGUGUUCAAAGCAGGCUUACGCCAUUGAAUACAUUAGCAUGGAAUAAUAAGAUAAGACCUUGGUCUAUUUUGUUGGUUAGUACUCCAAGGUAAUGAUUAAUAGGGACAGUUGGGGGUAUUCGUAUUCCAUUGUCAGAGGUGAAAUUCUUGGAUUUAUGGAAGACGAACUACUGCGAAAGCAUUUACCAAGGAUGUUUUCA